Molecule: ribosomal RNA, 478 nt
Filed under: uncultured bacterium
Lineage: Bacteria
Description: partial 16S ribosomal RNA
Rfam family: Bacterial small subunit ribosomal RNA
Source: RNAcentral
GACGAACGCUGGCGGCGUGCUUAACACAUGCAAGUCGAACGUGAUUUUUGUGGAAAUUCUUUCGGGAAUGGAAAUGAAAUGAAAGUGGCGAACGGGUGAGUAACACGUGAGCAACCUACCUUACACAGGGGGAUAGCCGUUGGAAACGACGAUUAAUACCGCAUGAGACCACAGAAUCGCAUGAUAUAGGGGUCAAAGAUUUAUCGGUGUAAGAAGGGCUCGCGUCUGAUUAGCUAGUUGGAAGGGUAAAGGCCUACCAAGGCGACGAUCAGUAGCCGGUCUGAGAGGAUGAACGGCCACAUUGGAACUGAGACACGGUCCAAACUCCUACGGGAGGCAGCAGUGGGGAAUAUUGCACAAUGGGGGGAGCCCUGAUGCAGCGACGCCGCGUGAGCGAAGAAGGUUUUCGAAUCGUAAAGCUCUGUCCUAUGAGAAGAUAAUGACGGUAUCAUAGGAGGAAGCCCCGGCUAAAUACGUG